Molecule: ribosomal RNA, 254 nt
Filed under: uncultured bacterium
Lineage: Bacteria
Description: partial 16S ribosomal RNA
Rfam family: Bacterial small subunit ribosomal RNA
Source: RNAcentral
UACGUAGGGGCCUAGCGUUGUCCGGAUUUAUUGGGCGUAAAGAGCUCGUAGGCGGUUCGGUAAGUCAGGUGUGAAAUCUCCACGCUCAACGUGGAGGCGCCACCUGAAACUGCCGUGACUCGAGUCCGGUAGGGGAGUGUGGAAUUCCCGGUGUAGCGGUGAAAUGCGCAGAUAUCGGGAGGAACACCAGUGGCGAAGGCGGCAUCCUGGACCAAUACUGACACUGAGGAGCGAAAGCCAGGGGAGCAAACGGG